Phyllostomus discolor (pale spear-nosed bat) is the source of this 1454-nucleotide non-coding RNA. Lineage: Eukaryota; Metazoa; Chordata; Mammalia; Chiroptera; Phyllostomidae. The record is from the annotation of a RefSeq genome assembly.
UUAUCACCCUAAUGACAAAUAAAUUUGGUCGUGGUGAUAUAAUUACAGUUAUAUUUAUUUCUAUCUUACCUUGUUUCUCAGAUUUCUUCAAUAAGUAUCUUUAGCAGCAUGUCCCAAGACACCUCCAAGGACUCCUCACAUUCAUGCUGAAGAGCCCUCCAGAGACCACCAAACGUAUCUUGAGAUCAUCAGGCCCACAAAAAGGAGUAAUUUCUGACCAGCAGCCAGCACUAAAGGCCCAAGGUCCUGCUGACCCACCACUUCCUUCCUUCACCCCAAUCUAGGCUACACCCACUUGCUACUGACCUGAGUUGCCCUGCCACCCAGUCUCCACUUUCCUGCUUCUCUUUGAGGACACAGUCUGUUCACAGGAUGUCCCUGCUGGAAGCAUUCACCUUCUUGUCCUUCUGGGCAUUUGGACUUGGGUUAUCAAAAUUGGAGCAGUCUCAGAUAUCCAUUUCCACAGAAGUAAAGAAAAGUGUUGACAUAUACUGCAAGGUAUCAAGCACAAAUUUUGAAAACGACAUCAUUCACUGGUACCGGCAAAAAUCGAAUCAGGCUUUGGAACAUCUGAUUUAUGUGAGCUCAACAAAAAGCCCAGCUCGAAGUAACCAAGGUGGGAAGAACAACAAAAUUGAGGCAAGAAAGAAUCCUCCAAGUCUCACUUCAAUGCUGACCAUAAAUUUCAUAGAAAAAGAAGAUGUGGCCAUUUACUACUGUGCUGGCUGGACUCACACUACUAGAACUGUUGAGACAACCCACACAAUAUCCACUACUUGGAUCUGUGCCCACCCACAUCCUUCCCAAUAGUGGCAACCACAACCAGUACCCCCCUCUCCAGCUGGGCUCCUGAAGUCAGCCUUGCCUUUUCUGCAGCAUUUCCUGAGCUCUUCAGAAAGUUGUCUUGGAUUAUGCUUGCACAUAGCUCCCAGUUAAUUCCAGGGGUUGUGUUUCCACAGCUUUAUUUGACAAUACAUCCCAAUUAAUCUUGUGUGGGGACAGGGAGCACAGGCUGUGCCACCAUCUCACCAACCAGAGACUCUCAGUAAGUGGUCAAGGUGGCUAGAACCAUUAUCAUCAUACAUGCACAAGACAACCCCUUGGCAAUAUACUAUUAUUGUUCCAUUUUCCAACUAAAAAUUUAAGCUUGUAGAAUAUAACUUUAAAUGUCAGGCAAAGACAAGAAGUCCAUCCUUUUUGAACAGGACAAUGAGACCACAAUACUAAGUUCAAGGAUGCAAUACUUUAACUAGAUAGUAGGGUAUCUGGAUCAAAUUAGGAAUGAAGCAAAGUCAUUUUUCUGGGAGGUGUGGGAAAAAGGUUUCAGCUAGCAUGACAUCAUCAGACCAGAGCUCUGAAUUCACUGGGGAUGUUAGAUGAGCCCAUUAUAUCUGGUAACCUUUGAUUUUGCCUGUGAAAGUAGAGAGAGCCUGCCAUGAUCCAAAGAACUAACA